This 442-nucleotide ribosomal RNA is filed under the name uncultured bacterium. Its description in RNAcentral is "partial 16S ribosomal RNA". It matches the Rfam family "Bacterial small subunit ribosomal RNA", at positions 338 to 795 of the family's 1533-position model. The record is from RNAcentral.
CCUACGGGUGGCAGCAGUGAGGAAUAUUGGGCAAUGGACGCGAGUCUGAACCAGCAACGUCGCGUGAAGGAAGAAGGCUCUCUGGGUGUAAACCUCCUUUUAUGGGGAAGUGCAGAAGUCGGUACGCCUUGAAUAAUCUAUGGCUAACUACGUGCCAUCAGCUGCGGAAAUACGUAGGUGGCAAGUGUUGUCCGGAUUUACUGGGUGUAAAGGGAGUGCAGGCGGGAAGUCAAGUCAGAUGUGAAAUCCAGCGGCUCAACCGCGGAACUGCAUUUGAAACUGUUUUUCUUGAGUACCGGAGAGGUAAGUGGAAUUCCUAGUGUAGCGGUGAAAUGCGUAGAUAUCAGGAAGAACACCAGUGGCGAAGGCGGAUUACUGGACGACAACUGACGGUGAGGCGCGAAAGCGUGGGGAGCAAACAGGAUUAGAUACCCGUGUAGUC